GAUGAACGCUGGCGGCGUGCCUAAUACAUGCAAGUCGAGCGAACAGAUGAGGAGCUUGCUCCUCUGACGUUAGCGGCGGACGGGUGAGUAACACGUGGAUAACCUACCUAUAAGACUGGGAUAACUUCGGGAAACCGGAGCUAAUACCGGAUAAUAUAUUGAACCGCAUGGUUCAAUAGUGAAAGACGGUUUUGCUGUCACUUAUAGAUGGAUCCGCGCCGCAUUAGCUAGUUGGUAAGGUAACGGCUUACCAAGGCAACGAUGCGUAGCCGACCUGAGAGGGUGAUCGGCCACACUGGAACUGAGACACGGUCCAGACUCCUACGGGAGGCAGCAGUAGGGAAUCUUCCGCAAAGGGCGAAAGCCUGACGGAGCAACGCCGCGUGAGUGAUGAAGGUCUUCGGAUCGUAAAACUCUGUUAUGAGGGAAGAACAAAUGUGUAAGUAACUAUUCACGUCUUGACGGUACCUAAUCAGAAAGCCACGGCUAAGUAGGUG
This 497-nucleotide ribosomal RNA is filed under the name uncultured bacterium. RNAcentral describes it as "partial 16S ribosomal RNA". It matches the Rfam family "Bacterial small subunit ribosomal RNA", at positions 28 to 507 of the family's 1533-position model. The record is from RNAcentral.